This 8690-nucleotide long non-coding RNA is filed under the name Olea europaea (common olive). Its description in RNAcentral is "long non-coding RNA (OEUR_LNC003741)". Lineage: Eukaryota; Viridiplantae; Streptophyta; Magnoliopsida; Lamiales; Oleaceae. The record is from RNAcentral.
UGUCUACGUCCAUCUUCUAGAAAUUUCCUCUGAACCCUGUUCGUCUUCUUCUUUCAUCUUCAACAUCUGGUUGGAUGAAUUGUAAAAUUUCUUAGUGAGAAAAGAGUUUGAGUGAUUCCUUUCGCGAGUGUAUGGCGAUACAUGUGGUGUGGGUUCUUCGCGUCCAUAGAACAACUCCAUUCACGUCUGUAAGUGAGGUUCUGGGUUGUUCGGUGCCUCUGCGAUGAAACAAUCAGGUAAAAUUGAUUGAGCCAACGAUUUAUGAGAUCUUGAUGCUUUUGGUUUAGAUUUGUCGUAGUACUGUGUAAUCUUCAGAAUCAGUGAUUUAUGUUCUCGAGGAUUUUGAAUAAUACAAUUAAUAUUUAAUAAGAACCAAUUUAGGAAUAUGAUCGGAUCUCACCAAGAUCAAUUUUUCUUCUUUCUAGAGAGAAUAGCAGCCUCUUAAUAUUGUUCGACCAUUCAUCUAAAGUUGAAUUCUGAUGUGAAGUAUGAACUUUUAAAGUUGUUUAAUUGUAGAGAAUACGUGCCCUCUUUUCCUCCACAUCGUUAUUUCCUCCAUCAAUAGAAAAUUUAUAUUGCCAUUUUUGCCUUUCGAUUUAUUUCUCCAUUCCGAUGAUGAAAAUGAGAAGAUGAGAAGACAAAGAUCCCACUUCUUCAAAAGCCUUCUUAACUUUCAUUUUGGUCCUUCUGUCUAUUUAUUUUUGUUUAUUGAACUAUUAAUUUUGCCAGUUCUUAUUCAAUCUAGGCAUACUUUUCGCCAUUGACUUCUUUAACGUGAUAUUCUCUUAAUUUUUGUUGAUUGCUCAUGCGAAUUGUAGUUGAGGGUAUUUAUUUUUGUUAUAGUUGGUUUUCCAGUGUAAUUACUAGGUCCGGUAUUGAGUUUACUCUAGGCAAUUUGAGGUGGAAAAGUAGAAUUUUGACGUCUGAAGAUGAUGAGUUUCGGAGACCCAAGUGUAACAACGGGAAAUACAUGGAAAUGAACCAAAUCGAAAGGUCAUUUUGGAAUAACUUUGGCUAAUUUUGAUACCCAAAAUACCCCUUUAUAAUAUUACAUAAUAAGUUAAUGAAAAAUAGAAAUUUUUCAUUUUAAUCCUUAAAAAAUUAAAUACUGCUUGAAUUUUAAUAGAUUACCAAAUUUAUUUGAUUUAUUAGAUUUUUGUUCGCUCUAAGUGGCACCCCCUUUAUUGGUAUCAGUGUCAUAGAGAUUAUGGAAAUUAAAAUAUGAAAAAUAGAUAAUUAUUGGUGUUUAGAAGAAGAAAAAGGUAAUUAUAUAUUUUUAAAAUCUAUUCAUAAUAGAUUAAAGAUAUUGACUUUAACAAUAAUUAAAUAACUUUCUAAAGAAAUAAAGGAACAAAUAUUAGAAAAAUUAAUAAUAGAAAAAAUAAAAGAUAUAUAGACAUAUGAAAAAAUUAUUAAUAUAUAUGAAUAUGAAGAAAAUAAUUUAUAUUAUAAAAAAAAGUAUGAGUAUAAGUAAUAAUACACAUUUAAAAUUAAAUAAACCAUUUAUAAAAAUGAUAAAAUAAAAGAAAAAAUAUGAAAUAUAAUGUUAAUAUCAGAAGAAAUGAGAAUAUCAAAUAAUAGACAAUUAUUAAAAUUAAAAUGCGAAGAUUAAGAAUUGAGAGCAAAUAUUUUACUAUAGUAAAAGAAGAAUUAGUAGAUCUAGAAACAGCUUAGAUAAUAGAUAAAAAAGAAGAUAAAAGAUGCAAAUUAACCUAUGAAUUAGAAAUAAGAAAAAAGUAAGAUGUCAAUAAGUGAAUAUAUAGAAGAUUUAAAAUCAUUAAUAAAAAUGAUAAUAAAUGAUAUACAAGAUUUGAGAAAUGAAGUAAAAGAAACAAGAAACGAUAUAAAUAUAUUAAAAAUUGAAAUUAGGGAAUUAAAAGAAAAUAAUAAGAAUAAAGAUAAGAAAAUAGAUAAAAAAAUUUAUAGAAAAAGAAAUGACUAGAAUAGGAAAGAAACAUAUUGAAAAAGAAAAUAUAGUAAUAGAAACAGGAAGUAUGGAUGAUGAAUUUAGAAAGAAUAUAUUACCAAAAAUAUUAGAAGAGGAAGAAAAAUCUCGAGAAAAAUCAUUAAGAAAAUUAAAAGUAGAAGAAAAAGAAGAUGAGUGAAGAAUUAUAUUUGUUAAUAGAAAAUUUUGAUCAAUUAAGCCAACUGAUAUAAGUGAAUACCAAGUUUUAAUAAAUAUUGGAGGAGGAUCUAAUUCAGCAGGAACCUCUAAACAGAAAUUACAUGAUACAGAUGAAAGUUAUGCACCUAUAUAUAAUAAACCAUAUAGACAAUUUAUGAUAAAGUAAGAGAUUGACAACCACCUAAAGGAAAUAAAUAUAAAGAUAGAUUUGAAUUAAGUGAUAAUUAUGAUAAACCAAUUAAUCAUGGAGGAACAAAACUAGAUUUAAAUUGCAAAAUAGAUACUAAAAAAGUUUUAUUGACUUGCGCAGAUUCAAUGAUAUUAUUUUUUUUAUAUAAUAAAAAUAACACAUGAAAAAGUAUUAAAAGAAGAAUAGAUUUCUUAAUAGCAUCUUUUGAAGAAGAUGUUAGAAAUUGGUGGGAAGGAAUAAGCAAUGAUACAAAAACAUUAAUAUAAAGAAAUGUACAAAUAGAAAUAAUCAAAUUAGAUAGACAAGAUAGAGAAAAAUUAGUAGAAUAUAUUUCAAUUGAAUUUUUAGGAGAAAAUUGGAUAAGAAAUGCUGAAGGAGAAUCAAUAAGAGAAAAAGACAAUGCUAUAAUAAAAUUAAUAAAUUUAACAAUAUGUGAUAUGUGUUAAAAAUUACUAUUAUGUUCAAUUUUAUAGUAAUGAAAAUUAAGAAGUAUACCAAGACAUGUAUUAUAAUAAGUUACCAGGUUCAUGGGGAAUAUGUUUUAAAAUAGAAUUUGAAAAGUAUAUUAGAGAUAAUACUGGAAUACCUAAAACUUUAGGUUCAAGAAUAAAAAUUUUAUUUGAAAAACUUGCAUAUAUAUGUCAAUAAAGACAAUUAAGGAAGAAAUCAGGAAAAUUAACUAAAAUAUGUUGUGAAAAUAUGGAAAUCUCUGUGCAAUGGGGAUGUAAUCCUGAAAGAAGAAUUAAUAAAAGAAAAUAUAAAAAUAAAAAGUUUAAAAAGUUUAGGAAUUUUAAUAAAAAAGUAUAUAAAACUUAGAAAAAGAUAUUACAAAAGAAAAAAUAACUAAUAUAAUCAACAGAAAAAUAAAAAGAAAAAUAAAAGUGAAUGUAAAUGUUGAAAUUGUGGAGAAAUAUAUCAUAUAAGCUCUAAUUGUGAUAAAAAGAAAGUUAGAAUAUUACAAAAAGAAUAUUUAGAAAUAAAAGAUGAAUUAAGUGAAAUAUCAGAUAUUGAAGAAUAUUAUACUCAAGAAGUAUAUAUAAGUGAAACAGAGCAUCAUCAGAAUCUGAAUAAAGAAAUUGAAGAAAUAGAAAAUAAUAACAUAAAUAUACAAGAAUAUGAAAGAAUAGAGAGAUAUGGAUUAAAAGUCAUUUUUGAUAAUAACAAGUUUAGAAAAUUGCAAAAAUUAUUGUUAGACUUUAAAAUAGAAAAAUGGGAAGUUUUUGAUAGAAUUUGGAAAAGAGAAAGAAUAGCAAUAAAUGAAUAUCACAAAAUAGAAAAAAUCAUAGAUGUAAGGACAACUUAUUUGCAAUAUAAAUUAAAUUUUUUAACAAAAAAUACAGUUGAAAAAUUAUUAACAAAGAUUAGUAAAAAACAAAGUGAAAAAAUUCAAUAUAUUUAUUUAGCAGGAAUACAAAUAAUGUUUAAAUCACUAUUUAGAGAAAGAAUAGAUUCAUCCUUAACUAUAACUUUAUAUGAUGGAAGAAUAAUAAAUUUAAAAGAUAGUCAUUUAGGAACAAUAGAAGGAAAUUUAGCAUAUCAAAAAAUUAUGUUUACAUGUUAUCCAAAAUAUUGUUUAUCAUUAAAAGAUAGAAAUUUUAAUGAAAUUUUAAAACUACAUUUUAAAUUUCAUAAAGAUGAUAUCAUGCAAUCAGGUGAUCAAAUUAUAACUACAAAAUAUAAAGUUUUAUAUACAUUUACUAAUUCUAAUUAUGGAAAUAUUUAUUCCAAUAAAUCAUAUAUUGAAGUUCAUAAAGAAUGUAAAGAUAUUAGUAAAAUAAUGGAACCAAAUAAACAAAUAAAUUUAAUUCCAGAAGAAUAUAAAUUUAGUAUAAACAAAAAUAGACUUGAAAUAACAAAAUUAAAUGAAGAAGAAUGUUAUAAUAAUAUCAUAUUUAAGGAUAAAAAAUUAAUUAAAAGAUCAAAAAAUUUUAAAAUACAUAAUAAAAAUCAGUUAGAAGAAAUUAACAAAAUAAAAGAGGUAAAAUUGUAUAGGAAUGGUGGAAACAUGAAAAUGGAAGGAGAAUAUUAGAAUGGAAGAGAAAAUAUAAAUAGAUCAAAUAUAUUAAUAAAUACAGGAGUUAGUGAAUGUCAUAUAGAUAAAGGCCUAAUAACUCAUAAAACUGAGCCAUAUAAGUUUGUAAAUCUUGAUAGACAAAUACAUAUAACAGAUUUAGAAGUUAAGGUACCAAUAAAAAUAGAAGGAAUAGAUCUUUUAGUACCAUAUUAUACAGAUAAAAGUAUGGAUAUAAAUCCCCAUAUACUUUUAGGAAUGAGUUUUCUAAAUGGAUUAGAAGAUUAUAGCAUAAAAAGAGAAGGAUUAUAUAUUGUUCAUAAUGUACAAACUACAUUAUGUAAAAAGAAUUAGAUGAAUAAUCAGAUAAGUUUUUCAUUAGCUGUGUAUAUACAAAUUACUAUUGUAGAAACAGAUAUAAUAACUUGUGCGUUAAUAGAUACAAGAAGUGAUAUAACAAUAUUUAAAUUUUUUUUAAUAAAAUCAUUGAAUAAUAAUAGUAAUAUAAAAAUAAUUGGAGUUAUAGGAGAAAGUACUCAAAUAAUUAAUAGCGCUGAUAAAGUUAAUAUAAUUCUUGGAGGUAAACAAGUAAAAAUAAAUAAAAUUUAUAAAUAUGAUAAACUAGAAUGUGAUAUUAUUAGGAAAUGAUUUCAUACAACAAUUUCAAUAUUAUAAACAAAAUAAUUAUAUGAUAAUGCUACAAACACCUUGUAGACACUUAUUAAAAAUUCAUUGAGAAUUUAAACCUUACAGAGUUCAGCUAAUCUAGUGUGGUGAUAAAUGAGAAAAAACUAAUUAUAUUUAAUGAAAUAAAAAAUAAAAGAAUAUUAUAUAAAAAAGUUCUAAAACACAGGAAUAGAAAUGAAUAUAGAAAAAAUCAUUGAACAAUUAGAAAAUGUUUAUGGGGAAAAUUCAUUAUUAUUUUGAAAAUCACAUCACCUAAAAGCCAAAAUAGAAUUAACAGAAAAUGUUAUAAUAAGAGUUAGACCAAUGGUGUAUAUUAUAGAAGAUUCACAAGAAUUUAAGAACCAGAUAAAAGAAUUGCUAGAACAAAAACUUAUUAGACCUAGUAAUGAACCUCAUAGUAGUCCAGCCUUUAUGGUUAUGAAACAUUCUGAACAUUAGAGGAAAAGUUAGGAUAGUUAUAAAUUAUAAAGAAUUAAACAAAUAUCUAAAUUUGAUGAUUACUUUCUACCAAAUAAAGAAGUACUAAUAAAUCUUGCAAGAGGGAAACAAUAUUAUUCUAAAUUUGAUUGUAAAUUAGGAUUUUGGCAAAUAAAAAUGGAAGAAGAUAGUAUACAAUAUACUGUACUUAGCACACGUCAAGGAAAAUAUGAAUGGUUAGUUAUGUGAUUUGGUCUAAAAAAUGCACCACAAAUAUAUCAAAGGAAAAUGGAUAAUAUAUUUAAAAAGUUUAAUGAAUUUCUAAUUGUUUAUAUAGAUGAUAUAUUAAUAUGUUCUAAUAAUAAAGAAGAACAUAGAAAUCAUUUAAUCCAAUUUAUUAACGAAUGUAAAAAAGAAGGAAUUGUACUAUCUAAAAAUAAAUAUAUAAUAGAAAAAUAAGAGAUAGACUUUCUUGAAUUAUCAAUAGAUAAAAGAUGAAUAAAAUUACAGACUUAUAUAUCCAAAAAGAUAGAAAGUUUUUCAGAUAAAUUAGAAUCCAAAGAACAGAUCCAAAAAUUUUUAGGAUGUUUAAACUAUGCGGAAGGAUUUAUUGAAAAUAUUUCUAAGAAAAGACAUAAAAUUCAAGUUUUACUUAGAAAAACAAAUACUAAAGAGUGGAAUAAAGAACAAACAAGAAUAGUUAAAUUAUUAAAAUAAGAAUGCAAAAAUUUACCAAAAUGAAGAUUAACAGAUGAAAAAGAUAAUUUGAUUGUUAAUAUUGAUGCCUCAUAUAAAUAUUGGGCAGCAAUAUUAAAAACAAAUCUAAAUGAAAUUUGUAGAUAUUCAAGUGGAACUUUUAAUCAAGUAGAAAUAAAUUAUACUGUUCAUGAGAAAGAAUUACUAGCAAUUAUUAGAGGAAUAAAAAAGUUCUCAUUAUUCUUAUUGUCUAAAAAAUUUAUUGUUAAAACUGAUAAUUUUCAAGUUGCAGGAUUAGUCAGAAAUAAAUUAUAAUCAGAACCUCAAUGCAGAAGGCUACAUAGGUGGCAAUCUUAUUUAGCAUUUUAUAAUUUCGAUAUUGUCCAUAUUAAAUGAGUUAAUAAUUUCCUUGCAAAUUUUCUCAGCAGAAACAUAUAAUUUGCUAAUGGAUAAAGUCAAGGUCGUGGAAUUAUACCAAUCCAUCAUACAUAUACAAAAAAUGGCGAAUUUUCUUAAAGAAGAAUCCGAAGAUAUAAACUCUGGAGUAACCCAGAUCUCAGAGAUGUUCAAUUUAAAUAUAAAAAUACUUUUGAAUAUCACUACUGACCAUUAUAAAUAUGCUAUAGAACUCAAAAAUCAAGUUGAUGCUAUUCCAGCAUAACUAAAAGAUAUACUGUCUGAGACAAAUAUACCAAAGAGCUCAGAAAUGAGUUUUCCAAAUCAAUAUCAAACAGGGACAGUUAGAAGCAGCAGUGGACCCAGACGUGACAACAUACCAACUGAUGAUAAAGGAGAUUUCAUUUCUGUAUCAACCAAGAAAGUUAUGAUUCAUGGAGAUAAAAGAGAUACCAAAACAAUCAGUAUCAUAGAUCAAGAAGAUAAAAUCUCUUUAGAUCCAAAAGAAGAAAAAUAUGUCGAAAUAGUCAAAAUUGCUUAUGAAAUAAAAAUGAGCGAUUCAUAUUUUAUUUUUCCGGGAAAUAAUGUUUAUCUCAAAAUAACAGUAAUGGAAGGAGGAGACCCUUCAUUUAUAAAAAUUAUGGGAGACUAUGGAUUCAUGAAUUUGGUUUAUCCAGGAAAAGAUUUUAUUGAAAUUUUAAAGUUUGAUGACAUAUUUUUUAAAGAAGUAUCCAGAUUUGCUAAGGGACAAAAAAUAUAUUUGAAAUUUUAUUCAAUCAGUCCAGAAUAUGAUGGAGUUGUUUACUAUCCAGUUGAACACAUAAUCUCAAUUUGAUAUGUUGCAGUCAACUUCCAAAUUGAUGUUACAGAAAAUAAUAGGAAAAUUCCAACAGUGACAAAAUCAUGGAUCAGACAUAGAAGAGCAUUUGGAAUUAAAGCCAUCUACAACAUUGUCGAAAAUUUGUUUGAUAAAAAAAUUCUCGUGCUUGUGCCAAUAUGGAAAUUGGAUGUUGGUAUCCAGUGGAGGAUAUGCAAAGUCAGAGAUUUUAAAAUAUUAUAUUACAAGAUUUGAUAUACAUCAAUUUUCAGGAUGUCCUACCACUAUAAAAGAAUUUUGCUAGCUAAGGGAGUGUCCCAACUGCAUGUGAAGACAUUGGAGAUAAAGAGCAAUAAUAGAAAAAAGAUGUUCAUUGGAUAAAAAGUUGAAGCAACAUGUGAAGAUGUAGGUCCAAAGAAGAAAAUAAUAGAGAGGCAAGUGUGCCUUGCUGAUGUACUCAAUGAUAUAAUAGAGUCUCAUAAAUUUAUAUAAAUAGAGGCAUUGCCAUAGAGAAAAGGCAUAUCAUCUUAUCCUGAAAUCCCGAGUUGUAAGCAAUAGCUACUAAAAUCCAUUCUCAGUUUGAAAAAUUAGCUUUUCUGGAAAUCCCUUUGUAUCGAAUAGAAGUCUUGUAUAAAUUCUGAUAGAAAUAAAACUUCAAUAUUUUUUAUAUAAAUAUGAGUUUCUAAAUCUUUAUUCCCAUAGAUUUUUGAUAGAUUUGAUAAAAAGUUUCAUUCUUAUUUUAGCAAAAAGAAUGUUUUUCUUUAACUGAAGUCUAGAAUUUCAUUCUUUAGAAAUCGAAACAGUGAGAGCAAGUAGCUGAAACAGUAACAAUUUCAUAAAGGCAGAAGGCCGUUGAAGGAAGCAGUUUACAGAUUCAGAGCUCAAAGGUCACUUGAUUCUAAGAAUACAAGUCCAGAUCAAACCUAAGGUAAAACUAUUAAAUUUUUGCUAAAAUUAGAAUGAAUUUUUUUAAGAUCUUAAAGAAUCAUAGGGAUUAAUUGCAUGAUUUGAUGAUCAUUUGAAUAAAUGACAGGAUAUACAAUCAAAAAAUUGGAUAAUUUAUUAGAAGAGAUGAUAGAAGAAAUAAAAAAUAUGUAUUUUCAAUUAGAAAAUAUGGAUGCAUCUUUGAAGAAUAUAAUAUAUUAAAAAAUAAAUGUGAACAAUAUGUUGCAGAUUAUUUCAAUUUAGAGUAAAUUUAACCAAUAAUCACUGAACUUUGCACUUGAUUACUACUUGCUCACUCAUAUUUCACAUAUUACUGAAUGCUCACUCAUUUUUUCAUAUAAUUACUCAUUCAUCACUCGUCUCUUCAAAUAAUUGGGCGACUUUUACGACAAAUUUUCGACAACUU